RNAcentral lists this transfer RNA (71 nucleotides) under Flavobacteriales bacterium. RNAcentral's name for it is "tRNA-Ala". It matches the Rfam family "tRNA". From Rfam's summary of the family: Transfer RNA (tRNA) molecules are approximately 80 nucleotides in length. Their secondary structure includes four short double-helical elements and three loops (D, anti-codon, and T loops). Further hydrogen bonds mediate the characteristic L-shaped molecular structure. tRNAs have two regions of fundamental functional importance: the anti-codon, which is responsible for specific mRNA codon recognition, and the 3' end, to which the tRNAs corresponding amino acid is attached (by aminoacyl-tRNA synthetases). tRNAs cope with the degeneracy of the genetic code in two manners: having more than one tRNA (with a specific anti-codon) for a particular amino acid; and 'wobble' base-pairing, i.e. permitting non-standard base-pairing at the 3rd anti-codon position. The record is from RNAcentral. Lineage: Bacteria; Pseudomonadati; Bacteroidota; Flavobacteriia; Flavobacteriales.
GGUCAGAUGGCUGAAAUGGAUAGGCGGUGAGGUAGCACCUCACGAUACAGGUUCGAAUCCUGUUCUGACCC